UGACACUGAACUAAACGUUCAUGUGUGUUAGUGCCUCUGUCCAUGGUGCUGAUUUAUAACUCACCAUGGUAAUAAUAAUGUAUAUAUACACUAUAAGCUUCUUAACUUGUUUGGUUUUAGUUUGAAUAACUUUUUCUUUAAAGCUCCGCUCUGUUUUCUGUGCAGCCUCGUCACGGAAGGAGAGCAGUGUGUAUUUUAUAAAGUGCUCUAGAACAAAAAGCAAACGUCUUCAUCCUUUUCCUUCCGUCUCUUUAUUUCCACGGAGAAACUCAUUGCCUUAACAGCAUUGCUUUGAUCGGGUCUUUUACUUCCACAUUAUGCCAGUUUACUGCUUUAGAUGGUUCUGUUAUGAAGUUUAUUCAGACUUUACUAAAUUACUGUGAAUUAGUGUGAGUUUGUGCGUGUGUGUGUGUUUCUGUGCUGUGGAGAGGUGUUAAUAACGUUCUCUGUGCAAACCGAGUGUUUGCUUGUUUUUUAUAGUAAUUAAAGUGACUUCAACUACAUCUAAAGCUACACGUAAAACACACAAACACACACACACACACAGCUCUGUUUGACGCCAGAGGUUUAUUUUUGUGCGUGAAUGCGGCUCAUUUCAGUGGAUAAUACGUACACAGGAGAGACAGAGACCUACUCAAAGUUUAUCACAAAGGAGGAUCGUCAGCCUGUGUGUGUGCGCGUGUGUGUGUCUGUGUGUGUGUGUGCGUGUGUGUGCGUGUGUCUGUGGUUCCUCUGUCAGGACUUUUUAACAAGCAAUCGAGCCCCCACGGGAAAACACUGACAAAAUAACAUCAUCCCUCUCCCUCUCUCUGUGCCCCCCCUCCUCUAAUAAGUCCAAUACCUCCCUCUCUGCGUCUCUCUGUCUCUCUGUCCGGGGGCGCUGCCAUUUCUCGCCUCCCUCCAUCCGUCUCGCCGCCUCCCUCCCACUCGCCGUCUCUUAUAAUAAGGCGGAUGUGCUGCUGCAGUCCUGCGGGGACGUCAGCAUACGUCUGUUAUCGACGGUGGGAUUGUAAGUCUAACGACACCAUUUACCCAAAGUUAUAUUAAUAGAGAGCAAACAAACAAAUGCCUCCGCCCGAGUUUGACAUGAAUGUAGAACAGCGGCCUGCGGCUCAAGGAAGAAAUCUAUAUUUCUUUUACAAAUAUCAUUGCUAAUCGUUGUUGCACACUUUUCCCUUUUCAUUAUGAAAAGUGUCCUAAAAGUCAUUAUUGCCAAUAUCAACAGUAAUACACGUGGUAAUUAUUGUCUUUAUUUUAGCUGUCUAGCCACCACGCUUUCCUAAUUCCAUCCUGCAGCUACAUUUCCGUUUCUCCUCGUUUAUUUCCUCCUUCUUUCCCUUCCCACCUUCCUAUUUCCAUACCAAUUAAACGUCUUUUCUUACUUCAUUGGUGGCUUUUCCUCCCUGUAUUUGCUAGGCUUUUGAAUGAGUCAAAUGCUGUGAUCGAGGUGCUAAUCACGAUCAAAUGGGUCUUUGAAUUAGGAGUCGCAGCAGGAUCCUCCCCGCAGUCAAGCUCUAUUCAACAGAUAAUAUUCCAACAUGAGCCCCUUUGUCAGGAUUACUUGUUGAAGCAUGUAUUCUUUCUAACGUAUUGAAUACAGUAAUCCCGUAUGAAGCACGCUGUGUGCAACCGCCCCUAAAGGGUUCGAGAGAAUGGGAGAUGAGUAAGUGCACGGCGAUGAAAUGGUGGAUCUUCUCUGAGCAGCGGUUUAUUAGCCGAGAAGGAAGCGCUCAGCUCGCCCGCACGCUUUAACUCUCACACUAACAUCUGAACGAAUUCACGUGAUUCUCGUCCACUCAAUUCACAGUGAAAGGGAUUUCUUUGUGUGCAUCGGCGCCGGGGGGAGUGUGGAGGGGGGGGGGGAUCACGCUGCGUUCAUUCCAAAGACACAAACAACACAAUUCAAACCGGAGCACAGAACGGAAGAACACCCGCUGCCCCGAAAUAAGAAGAAAAUCAAAGGCCUCAAAGACCAAAUUCACCCAGGAACAAAAGCCCUGGAAUUCACGGAGGCGGAGAGCAGCCGAGGAACAAGCGGGGGCAACGCCAGGGAGAGACGGGAACCGUUUUUUAAAGUCGCUUUUAUGUUCAUUUCAACUUUUCAGGAACAACAUUGGAGCUGAGCGGGUUUGAUCUCUGCUGGCUGACGUGAGGGGAAGAAGAGAGGGAGCAAAGCUCAGGAGAAGAAUAAAAAAUAAAUGAAGUGAUGGGAAAUAUCACUUGCAAAUUAGCUUUGCCAGUUCAACAAACAUUUGGAUGUUGGAGCAGCUCGCAUGGACCAGAAAUGGCCGCUGGUCCUCUGGUGUUUAACCACAACAAUAUAAACAGCUUUCUGAAGAGCUCAAAUUAGCUUGAUAUUAAAACCUUCUCUAACCAUUAAAGACUGUGAAGAGAAGGAAACUAGCACCUUUAAAGCUUACUAAUUAUUAUGUAGUUUCUCAUUUUCAAAGCCUAAGUGAACCAUAAAAAAGGGAGGAUGUAUGCUAAGCUAAGCUAGGCUAAGUGACUGUAGGCUGAGGCUUAUAUCUCAACAAGUUAGACAUCUGACGUAGCUCCUCCAACAAUUUUCAGGCACUUUAUAGAAAACCCACAUGUUCAAACUAUAGCUUUGUUAAAGUUAAUACAUCAUAAAUAAAUAACUAUGUUUGGCUACAGGUCGAUUUAUUCAACUCACAGAAUAUAGUUUUGAAACAUUUUUAAGGCAAGGUAACCGAAGGGAGAACAUUCGCGCUCCCGCGGCCCUCGCUGCCAACCUGGCGUACGACUACAGGUCGAUCAAUACUGUGCCGCUGGCG
Gasterosteus aculeatus aculeatus (three-spined stickleback) is the source of this 2795-nucleotide long non-coding RNA. Lineage: Eukaryota; Metazoa; Chordata; Actinopteri; Perciformes; Gasterosteidae. The record is from Ensembl.